GGCCAGCAGCUUCCCGAGCUCCUCGUCGUUGCGGAUCGCCAGGAGCACGUGGCGCGGGAUGAUGCGCGUCUUCUUGUUGUCUUUCGCCGCGUUCCCUGCCAACUCCAGAACCUCGGCGGCGAGGUACUCCAGGACGGCGGCGAGGUAGACGGGGGCGCCAGUGCCCACGCGCUGCGCGUACCGGCCCUUCUUGAGGUAGCGCCCGAUCCGGCCGACGGGGAACUGCAGCCCGGCCUUGACGGACCGCGUCACCGACUUCUUCCUGGGG
This 268-nucleotide long non-coding RNA is filed under the name Zea mays. RNAcentral describes it as "long non-coding RNA (ZMAY_LNC001232)". Lineage: Eukaryota; Viridiplantae; Streptophyta; Magnoliopsida; Poales; Poaceae. The record is from RNAcentral.